GUGCUCACUUCAGCAGCACAUACACUAAAAUUGGAACUAUACUGAGAAGAUGAGCAUGGCCCUGCUAAAGAAUGACACACAAAUUCACGAAGCAUUCCAUAUUUUU
Equus asinus (donkey) is the source of this 106-nucleotide small nuclear RNA. The record is from Ensembl. Lineage: Eukaryota; Metazoa; Chordata; Mammalia; Perissodactyla; Equidae.